Molecule: ribosomal RNA, 459 nt
Filed under: uncultured bacterium
Lineage: Bacteria
Description: partial 16S ribosomal RNA
Rfam family: Bacterial small subunit ribosomal RNA
Source: RNAcentral
CCUACGGGAGGCAGCAGUGAGGAAUAUUGGUCAAUGGGCGGGAGCCUGAACCAGCCAAGUCGCGUGAAGGAAGAAGGUACUUAGUAUUGUAAACUUCUUUUGUCGGGGAAAAAAGGCGGAGACGCGUCUCCGGAUGAGUGUACCCGAAGAAAACGCAUCGGCUAACUCCGUGCCAGCAGCAGCGGUAAUCCGGAGGCUGCGAUCGUUAUCCGGCUUUAUUGGGUUAAAAGGGUGCGCAGGCGGGCGAGCAAGUCAGCGGUAAAAGGUCGGGGCUCAACCCCGGCCGGCCGUUGAAACUGGUUGUCUAGAGUUGGAGAGAGGUAUGCGGAAUUCGUGGUGUAGCGGUGAAAUGCAUAGAUAUCACGAAGAACACCGAUGGCGAAGGCAGCAUACCGGCUCCAUACUGACGCUGAGGCACGAAAGCGUGGGGAGCGAACAGGAUUAGAUACCCUUGUAGUC